This 431-nucleotide ribosomal RNA is filed under the name uncultured bacterium. RNAcentral describes it as "bacterial SSU rRNA". It matches the Rfam family "Bacterial small subunit ribosomal RNA", at positions 355 to 776 of the family's 1533-position model. The record is from RNAcentral.
UGGGGAAUUUUGCGCAAUGGGCGAAAGCCUGACGCAGCGACGCCGCGUGAGGGAUGAAGGUCUUCGUGAUUGUAAACCUCUGUCAGGAAGGAUUAACUGUGCGGAUAUUAACACUAUUCGCAUUUGACUUAACUUCCAGAGGAAGCCCCGGCUAACUACGUGCCAGCAGCCGCGGUAAUACGUAGGGGGCAAGCGUUACUCGGAUUUACUGGGCGUAAAGCGAGUUAAGGUGGUCUUGUAAGUCGGAGGUGAAAUCCCUCAGCUCAACUGGGGAACUGCCUUUGAUACUGCAAGGCUAGAGGACAGGAGAGGAAAGUGGAAUUCCCGGUGUAGCGGUGGAAUGCGUAGAUAUCGGGAGGAACACCAGAGGCGAAGGCGACUUUCUGGACUGAUUCUGACACUGAUACUCGAAAGCUAGGGGAGCAAACAGG